CGCAGCAACGCCGCGUGAGGGAUGACGGCCUUCGGGUUGUAAACCUCUUUCAGCAGGGANGAAGCGAAAGUGACUGUACCUGCAGAAGAAGCGCCGGCUAAAUACGUGCCAGCAGCCGCGGUAAUACGUAGGGGGCAAGCGUUGUCCGGAUUUAUUGGGCGUAAAGAGUUCGUAGGCGGUCUGUCGCGUCGGAAGUGAAAUCCCGGAGCUCAACUCCGGGCCUGCUUUCGAUACGGGCAGACUUGAGUGCUGCAGGGGAGACUGGAAUUCCUGGUGUAGCGGUGGAAUGCGCAGAUAUCAGGAAGAACACCCGUGGCGAAGGCGGGUCUCUGGGCAACAACUGACGCUGAGGAACGAAAGCGUGGGGAGCAAACAGGAUUAGAUACCCUGGUAGUCCACGCCGUAAACGGUGGGCACUAGGUGUGGGGACCAUUCCACGGUCUCGCGCCGCAGCUAACGCAUUAAGGCCCCGC
Molecule: ribosomal RNA, 473 nt
Filed under: uncultured bacterium
Lineage: Bacteria
Description: bacterial SSU rRNA
Rfam family: Bacterial small subunit ribosomal RNA
Source: RNAcentral